Cottoperca gobio is the source of this 1724-nucleotide long non-coding RNA. RefSeq lists it as uncharacterized. The record is from RefSeq and is a predicted model, not a curated record. The transcript has 3 exons. Lineage: Eukaryota; Metazoa; Chordata; Actinopteri; Perciformes; Bovichtidae.
UUGUUGUGCUGACUGGCAACCUGUUGCAGAUUAUAAGCAUGGGACUGUUUAUUGGUCCCAGUUCUUUCAUUAAGUGUUACAGGCGCCGGAUGCCAUAUAAUGGUGCCAUGUGCAGUGAUAUUUUGAAAGUUUCCAAAGGAUGGUUGGUAACUUUAAAGAAAAAAUGUUUGGGAGAAACGAGAAAACCACCCGCACCUUCACCUUGUCCUCUCCGCCACCAGAUGACCAGCAGUGAACAAACAAUCAAAACACACACAGACCCCGUACCUUCAAAGGAUCCACUGGCAGGCCCACAGACCUGCAGUGCAGUGAAGGCACCACGCCAACCUGUGCCGGGCUCCCACCACAGGCCCGUCCAAAACGUUUAAUCAAAAGGGACACUCUCCACUUGGUUCCGAAUGAAAAGGAAGCUGUUGGCCCAUGCUGCGCACCUUGGCAGCUCGACGGAUAUAAACUCAGAUUGGUCUAAUCUCCACUACAGUGCGAGGACAUGGGAGAGGAGGCCUGUGAUACAAUCUGCAUCUUCUAGCAGGUCAUUGAAGCUUUGGGGACAGGGUUGAUGGUGAUGUGACCUGGCGCGGCCUAAUCAGCCUUCCUGUCUACCAUCAGCACUGAUGGAUGUUUAUCGUCUCCUCGGUACAGGGCCAGCAUGUCACUUCCAGCAGAUGCUGAUUCAAGCCGCUGAAUGAAUGUCAGAGGGAAAAUUACAGUAAUUUCACUCCUCAGAAUUUAUUGUAGCAUCAUUAUACUCCAAUAUUAAGUUCACCUUUUUCUGAGGGACUCUUUAUUUAGACACUGCUGUACAGUUUCUCUGGCAAGCAUACCACAUGUAAGUCUUUUUUAUAAUUUUACAUUUGACGUGGCCUCUUUUCUUGUGUCAAUUUAUAGAAGCCAACUUGACGCUUCCUUUCUAAUAUGGUGCUAUGACAAACUCAUCGUUUGGUCUAUAAAAUCCCAGUAUCUCAAAGUCCAAGGUGAUGUCUUUAAGAGUUUUGUUUUGUCAGUCCAAACCCAAAGAUAUUCACUUUAAUAUGAUAUAAAACAGAAAAAAGCAGGAGGCUGAAAACAAAACAUUUUCUUUUGCCGUUUCUGCAUGGAGAAAUUACCUGAAAGAUUAAUUGAUUAUCAAAAUAAUUGAAAAAUAUUUAUUAGUUAGUUGACGAAAUUUCACAAAAAAAAUGUUAUAGGCAUUACAAAUGUAAAUAGCUUCACAACAAAUACAUGUAAAGUCAUAUUUACACUUUGGUGGAUCCAUUUGUUCCUGCGAGAUGAGUUUUACACAUUUGUGAAACGCCUCCUGUCAGUUUUGAGGCCAUGUGACUUCUCUUUUAUUUGUUAGCAGAUUUUUGUCGUUUUUCCGACCUACGUGAAAAUGACAAAUACAACCGCACCCGCUUCAUAUUCCGACAGCCUCGAUGACUUCAUUCCCCUGGAAACCAACGAGGUCACACAAAGUAUGACGGCUACAGUAGUACUGAAGUUACUGUUCAUCAGACCACAAAUGAGACUAGAUUAGCUACAGCAGCCUGCAGUGUCACUGCCUAACUCCCCACAGUUUCGGAGAUGGACAUUCAGUAAGCGGCUGUAGCAACUGGAAUUCAGCCAGCACAAACCCCAGGGCCCAAAGCUCGACAAAAAGACCCAAAAAAAAAGACAAAAUUGAAAAACAUCUUUAUGCUCUUCUUCAUAAUGAACCAGAUUAAUGGAAAGAGAUUAAUUGCUCA